Molecule: long non-coding RNA, 1404 nt
Organism: Camelus dromedarius (Arabian camel)
Lineage: Eukaryota; Metazoa; Chordata; Mammalia; Artiodactyla; Camelidae
Exons: 4
Source: RefSeq, a predicted model, not a curated record
AAGACGCAGAUUUUGUCCGGACAUUAGUGUGUCCUGAAAUAAUUUCAAACUGGAAAAAAAAAAAAUGAGAAUCGUGGCAAGACUAGAGAGGGAACUUUCUGGGUAGCCUCAGCUCAGUGAUGUUCUACAUUUUCUCACAUUUCUUCAUCACUCUCCCCCUCUCUCUCUAACGUGUUUUCAGAACCAGUGGAGAGCGGGUGGGAGACUCCACACCCUUUGCUCCUAAAUGCCUCCUUGGGCCUCUCCUGGGAGCACAGACAUUCCACCAUGACCCUUACCGCAGCCGCCAGGUGGUGGAACACGCCCGUCGCGCUGAGCAUCCACAUUCAGCUUUGCUGAGGGUCUCCCCAGCGUCCCUCCCCAGAGCGGGUCUGGCCAGGAGCACACGCUGAAUCUGGCUGUCGCAAUCCUGUCCCUGGGCCCUUCCUGUCCCUCAGGACCGCGGAGCCUAAGUGCCUGCUGCUGGCUGAGUGCAGGCCGAGCCGGUGGGCGAAGGGGACUUGCUGUCUGCAGUCCCCGGGCUGGGAGCAGAGGGCUGGCUGGGUGCGAGACCGUCCCACAGGCCCAGCUGCACCCCCCGGACGGCACCCCUGAUCCUCUGUCUCGCUUACUGUGUUGCCUGAAAUUUCCAGCGCUUCAUGGGGAAUCACAUGGCCAGAGCAGACAGCGGUGCCUGCUCCCGGACUUCGGGGUGUCUUGUGCUCUCCUUUGUUCUGCUGGUACGGUGAACUCCACUGGCUGGUUUCAAGUCGUAAACCGACCUUGUGUUCUUGGGCUGAGCCACGCUCGAUCACAAGAGUGUGCUCUGUCGGGGUGGGGUCAGCCUCGUGGACCGGGCUGGGAGCUGCUCCCUCUUCUACUCUCUGAGGGGAGAAUUAGAGGGAGAACCUGCUCCAGGCCUCUCUCACGGGUUCUGGCAAAUCAUCGGGGCCCCUCGGCUUGUGGAAACAUCACCCUGAUCUCCAUCUUCAUCUUCACGCAGCAUUCUCCCAGGUGUGUCCGCAUCCAAAUCUCUCCUUUUUAUAGGAGCACGAUCAUACUGGACUAGAUCCCCCCUCUUGACUUCAUUUUAACUUGAUUAUCUCUGUUAUGGGCUGAACUGUGGUCUCCCAAAUUCACAUGUUGAAGCCCUGACGCCCAGCGGCUCAGAAUGUGGCCUCAUUUGGAGAUUGGGUCUUUAAGGAGGUAGUUAAGGUAAAAUUAGGUCACUGGCGAGGGCCCUGUUCUCGUAUGAAUGGCAUCCUUGUGCAAAGAGAUUAGGAAGCAGACACACACAGGGGGACAAGCACGUGAGGACACAGGGAGGAGACGACUAUCUACACGUCUGGGAGAGACCAGCCCUGUGACCCUGAACCUCAGACUUCACCCUCCAAGACCAUGAGAGAAUAAACGUCUGUUGUUUGA